RNAcentral lists this ribosomal RNA (460 nucleotides) under uncultured bacterium. RNAcentral describes it as "partial 16S ribosomal RNA". It matches the Rfam family "Bacterial small subunit ribosomal RNA", at positions 338 to 795 of the family's 1533-position model. The record is from RNAcentral.
CCUACGGGUGGCAGCAGUGAGGAAUAUUGGUCAAUGGACGAGAGUCUGAACCAGCCAAGUAGCGUGAAGGAUGACUGCCCUAUGGGUUGUAAACUUCUUUUAUAUGGGAAUAAAAUGUUCCACGUGUGGGAUUUUGUAUGUACCAUAUGAAUAAGGAUCGGCUAACUCCGUGCCAGCAGCCGCGGUAAUACGGAGGAUCCGAGCGUUAUCCGGAUUUAUUGGGUUUAAAGGGAGCGUAGGGGGAUUGUUAAGGCAGUUGUGAAAGUUUGCGGCUCAACCGUAAAAUUGCAGUUGAAACUGGCAGUCUUGAGUACAGUAGAGGUGGGCGGAAUUCGUGGUGUAGCGGUGAAAUGCUUAGAUAUCACGAAGAACUCCGAUUGCGAAGGCAGUUCACUGGACUGCAACUGACACUGAGGCUCGAAAGUGUGGGUAUCAAACAGGAUUAGAUACCCUGGUAGUC